Molecule: ribosomal RNA, 253 nt
Filed under: uncultured bacterium
Lineage: Bacteria
Description: partial 16S ribosomal RNA
Rfam family: Bacterial small subunit ribosomal RNA
Source: RNAcentral
UACAGAGGGUGCAAGCGUUAAUCGGAAUUACUGGGCGUAAAGGGCGCGUAGGCGGUUUAUUAAGUUAGGUGUGAAAUCCCCGGGCUUAACCUGGGACGUGCAUUUAAAACUGAUAGGCUAGAGUAGAGUAGAGGGAAGUGGAAUUUCCGGUGUAGCGGUGAAAUGCGUAGAUAUCGGAAAGAACACUCGUGGCGAAGGCGACUUCCUGGACUCAUACUGACGCUGAGGCGCGAAAGCGUGGGGAGCAAACAGG